Molecule: ribosomal RNA, 193 nt
Filed under: uncultured Ralstonia sp.
Lineage: Bacteria; Pseudomonadati; Pseudomonadota; Betaproteobacteria; Burkholderiales; Burkholderiaceae
Description: partial 16S ribosomal RNA
Rfam family: Bacterial small subunit ribosomal RNA
Source: RNAcentral
UCCUACGGGAGGCAGCAGUGGGGAAUUUUGGACAAUGGGGGCAACCCUGAUCCAGCAAUGCCGCGUGUGUGAAGAAGGCCUUCGGGUUGUAAAGCACUUUUGUCCGGAAAGAAAUCGCUUCGGUUAAUACCUGGGGUGGAUGACGGUACCGGAAGAAUAAGGACCGGCUAACUACGUGCCAGCAGCCGCGGUA